UCCUCUUCGGUUUCUCUUAUGCUGAGCACAUCCAAGCGUGGAUCAUGGCUUUUAAGGAGGUGCACGCAUCCAGCUGUGUCUCUGUCACUGAAGCUUCCCUUGCAACCUCCUCUCCCUUGCCAGAUAAGCAGAGCAGGUCAGCAGAGAGCAGCUUGCCAGUGUGCUGCAUGCUUGUGAGUGCAGGUAGAAAACCUAGAAGCUGCUUCAUAGAAAACUGUCCUCCACCAUCAAAGAGUUAGAGC
Molecule: long non-coding RNA, 242 nt
Filed under: Gallus gallus (chicken)
Lineage: Eukaryota; Metazoa; Chordata; Aves; Galliformes; Phasianidae
Description: long non-coding RNA NONGGAT007133
Source: RNAcentral